UUGAACGCUGGCGGCAUGCCUUACACCUGCAAGUCGAACGGCAGCACGGACUUCGGUCUGGUGGCGAGUGGCGAACGGGUGAGUAAUGUAUCGGAACGUACCUUUCAGUGGGGGAUAACGUAGCGAAAGUUACGCUAAUACCGCAUAUUCUGUGAGCAGGAAAGCAGGGGAUCGAAAGACCUUGCGCUGAUUGAGCGGCCGAUAUCAGAUUAGCUAGUUGGUGGGGUAAAGGCCUACCAAGGCGACGAUCUGUAGCGGGUCUGAGAGGAUGAUCCGCCACACUGGAACUGAGACACGGUCCAGACUCCUACGGGAGGCAGCAGUGGGGAAUUUUGGACAAUGGGGGCAACCCUGAUCCAGCCAUGCCGCGUGAGUGAAGAAGGCCUUCGGGUUGUAAAGCUCUUUCGGCCGGGAAGAAAUCGCAUAGGCUAAUACCCUGUGUGGAUGACGGUACCGGAAUAAGAAGCACCGGCUAACUACGUG
RNAcentral lists this ribosomal RNA (483 nucleotides) under uncultured bacterium. Its description in RNAcentral is "partial 16S ribosomal RNA". It matches the Rfam family "Bacterial small subunit ribosomal RNA", at positions 30 to 507 of the family's 1533-position model. The record is from RNAcentral.